AAAGCUUCGACAAUAACCUCAUGAGACGUCUAUUGGUAUAGUAGAUGACUUCUUUCUUUAACCCUUAACCCCCGAAAUGAUGUCCUUGAUAAUAUAUACAUUUUUGUUCUACAUGUACAUGUACCCAUGGUGGCAAAUAUUGAUUGAUUGACAGCAACGAAUAGCGCCAACUUUAUUUUCUAGAUACCAUAGGGACCAUUGAAUAUAAGUUUGGUCGGAAUAGGCUCGUUGGAUUCAGAGGCGAAAUUGUUUUAAGAGUAAACGACAACAGCAUUUGCAAAGUGGUGAUAAUAGCUUACCUGGUCGAACAAAAAAUGGGGAUACUAUCUCGUCAACAAGAACUGAUCUGGAUAUCUUAAACCCAGUCGCAAUGAAAAAUGUCUUCCGUUUCUUUGUCAGUCUAUUUAUCGAACUCAUUUAAGAGUUUGAUGAGUGGAAUCAAACCUAGUUCAUUUGCAUUUUAUAAGGAUAAAAAAAAACAUUAAAGGUUCUAUCCCGGCAACUUGAAAUGCACAUUGAGCAUCAUCCAAAAAAAUGGUAAUGCAUUUCAGAUCACCAGUUACAAGAGGUUUUGACAAGUGACAACCUUCAUUCAGAUUUUUAAAGAAUGUAACAAGUGUGGACACAGAUUAAUGUGAAUAGUAUGUUUGGACAGUGUCUUAUGAAAAAAGGGCAUUCUAUGUUUUCCUAUAUGGUGUUAUUAACUGUGUUGCACGAUGACAAACAAUCUGAGCAUUAGGAGUAUUGUUUAUUUAAUAUUGAGUUUCCAUGUUCAAGACGGGCAUGGAAGAGACAGUAAUUACAUUAGUUACAAAAUGAUUAUGAUAGAAUAUGUUCCACAUCUUUGAUUUUAGAUAAAUUUUGUAGCUAGGGGCGCAACACAUAAUAGGUUUAUUUUUUCAUGUGUUUCUUUUUUUUAAUGGGAGAUGAUAUAUAGAUAACAUGAUAUAAGGAGCCUGUAAUUCAGUGAUUGGCGUUUGUUUUU
Molecule: long non-coding RNA, 985 nt
Filed under: Mytilus galloprovincialis (Mediterranean mussel)
Lineage: Eukaryota; Metazoa; Mollusca; Bivalvia; Mytilida; Mytilidae
Source: RNAcentral